CGUCGUUGACGCCCCGCACGGUCACAAGAAAUCAAACGGAAGUUUCUUCACUUUAGGCGGUCGAUGAGUCCAAAUCACCAGAGUCUGUCCCCGUGUGUACUUUCACACUGCUACGGUGAACGAGCAGACGGUCGUGGCGCGUUCGCACAGUCGGGACAACGGGAUAAAUGGGUCCUCAGCUAGGAGGCGCCACCUUCGCUUAGAGGACGAACCUAAAAAGGCCCGCGAAUUUCGAACUCGUCCCCUGCCCCCGAUCACCUUCAAGAGGUGCUGGCCAACCACUAGAGAGAACGUAGCUACAUGACACAAUCAAUAGGAGACCAGCAAAUAUGUCAGAACCCAUUCGUUCAAAGAUGAUCUUCAGCAUUCAAUCAACGCUCUCAGUCUUUCUCGAUACAAUGUGCAGGUUUGCAUAACCGGGCUCGUUCUUAGACUUCAGGUGUUCAGCUUAAACGGCGAAAGAGUCUCUGAAGGCCGUCGAGCGGUGCUAUUCCGCAAUCCUCGUAACACCGUCCGAUGCAUUAGGUAAUAUUAGUGUGUCUCCAACGCUUCGUGAGGUUGAGGAGUUUAUUACCCAAGAAACGGACGUGAAUCCCAACGAACUUCGAUGUCGAGUCGAAGAUAUGACAACCUCGUGUCGGUCAACGAUGGGAAAUAUCUCUGACGCUUUGACGACAAUCAUAUUUGACGAUCUUUCCAGAUUGUUGCGAACUGGAAUGGUAUAUAGCAAGAUGGCUGCUCGAAUGGACGAACUGGCAGAAAUGGAUAUCGCAAUAGAGGGCCAACUAUCUAAGGCUAACGAAUAUCAGCGUCGCCUUGAAAGGGUGCGUUCAGCUCGAAUUCAACUAGAGCAUGCAUUCAAUGAACUUGUAGAAGGAGACCAACACACUGAUCCACAAAUCAGUGUAAGUGCCGUGGAGAUCGCCAGUUCUGAGAACCCACAAAAUGAUACAUCAGCGGACCUCAUUUCAAAUUACGCCGAUGCAGAUUCACUUCUACCGCUCACUCCCGCCACUUCGCUGAAGUAGCCCACAUGGAUUUUGAAUCGGUGAUGACAUCAACCAGAAAUGGCAGGAAGGUUUAAAAUAUUCUUGAAGGAAUUGUAUUGAGGUACUGUUUAAUAGAAACUAUUUCGGUAAAAAAAUAUUCGAAAAUUCAAGUAAACACGCUAAAAUCGUGGAGUUAGCUAAUUCACCGAGCAUGAAUUGGAUCUAGUGAGUCUGCUCCUGACAGUCCUUUAACAUCUUUUAAGUAUAACAGCACUAGGGACACAGUCAAACGUGGCGUAUAUCUGCCUUUUAAAACGGGAGUUUUUUUUGUCUAGCCAUAAGUUAAUAAACAACAAUCCUUUAGCGAGUAGUAAACUCACGUGUUGAGACAAUUCAACAUACUUUCUAUUUUGAUAAUGUUUUGUAGAUGAUAUUGCGAAUCUUUAUAUGAACUUAAGUCUAACUCGAUCAGUUUUAAAAACCAUUACUCGUAAGCGAGUCGUCCACUGCAGAGUGUAUCAGGCUAACUUUAGUCUACUCAAAUCAGGAGAGUACCAUUUUAGAAUAUCGGGGUAAAUUACCUGUGGUGGAAAUUUUUGUGUGCCAAUCAGGUAGGCAGCAUUUCUUAUGGUCUUACAAUUGUUAAUAAUCAAGAAUGGUAGUUUUAUUAUCGUUAAGGCACUUACUUAGGAACAUAUGCAUGUACCUUCCUGUGCAGUAUAACUUAGCUAUGUAAAAAAAAGUGCUAACUUGCUAAAAGUCGAUAGAAGUGUAUGCGGUUUAAGUUAAUUAAAAACUGGGUUUCACUAGGUCGACUAUGUUGACAACAGUCUAGAUUAAAGUGUAAUAUUCAUAUA
Molecule: long non-coding RNA, 1846 nt
Organism: Varroa destructor (honeybee mite)
Lineage: Eukaryota; Metazoa; Arthropoda; Arachnida; Mesostigmata; Varroidae
Source: RefSeq, a predicted model, not a curated record